AACUGAAGAGUUUGAUCAUGGCUCAGAUUGAACGCUGGCGGCAGGCUUAACACAUGCAAGUCGAGCGGGGGAAGGUAGCUUGCUACUGGACCUAGCGGCGGACGGGUGAGUAAUGCUUAGGAAUCUGCCUAUUAGUGGGGGACAACAUCUCGAAAGGG
RNAcentral lists this ribosomal RNA (158 nucleotides) under Acinetobacter baumannii ABNIH14. RNAcentral's name for it is "partial 16S ribosomal RNA". It matches the Rfam family "Bacterial small subunit ribosomal RNA", at positions 1 to 159 of the family's 1533-position model. Lineage: Bacteria; Pseudomonadati; Pseudomonadota; Gammaproteobacteria; Moraxellales; Moraxellaceae. The record is from RNAcentral.